This 1965-nucleotide ribosomal RNA is filed under the name human gut metagenome. Its description in RNAcentral is "bacterial LSU rRNA". It matches the Rfam family "Bacterial large subunit ribosomal RNA", at positions 3 to 1991 of the family's 2925-position model. The record is from RNAcentral.
UCAAGUUAUUAAGGGUGCAGGGCGGAUGCCUUGGCACUAGGAGCCGAUGAAGGACGUGAUAAGCUGCGAUAAGCUUCGGGGAGUUGCACGUAAACUUUGAUCCGAAGAUUUCCGAAUGAGGAAACUCACUUAGAGUAAUGUCUAAGUAUCAUUAAGUGAAUACAUAGCUUAAUGAGGGGAACUCAGGGAACUGAAACAUCUAAGUACCUGAAGGAAGAGAAAGAAAUUCGAUUCCGUAAGUAGCGGCGAGCGAACGCGGAUUAGCCCAAACCAAUAAAGUUUUCUUUAUUGGGGUUGCGGACAUAUCAUAACGAAGAGGUAUCGUAAUUGAAGAGGUUUGGAAAGACCCACCACAGAAGGUAAUAGUCCUGUAUGUUAAACGAGAAGACUUUAGAUAUGAUCCAGAGUACCACGGGACACGUGAAACCCUGUGGGAAGCAGGAGGGACCACCCUCCAAGGCUAAAUACUACCUAGUGACCGAUAGCGUAUAGUACCGUGAGGGAAAGGUGAAAAGAACCCCGGGAGGGGAGUGAAAUAGAACCUGAAACCCUGCACUUACAAGCUGUGGAAGCACAUUUCUUGUGUGACCGCGUACUUUUUGUAGAACGGGCCAACGAGUUACGUUAAGUAGCAAGGUUAAGCACUUAAGGUGCGGAGCCGUAGCGAAAGCGAGUUUUAACUGAGCGUUCAGUUACUUGACGUAGACCCGAAACCGGGCGACCUACCCAUGAGCAGGAUGAAGCGAAAGUAAAAUUUCGUGGAGGUCCGAACCCACGAGCGUUGAAAAGCUCGGGGAUGACUUGUGGGUAGCGGUGAAAUUCCAAUCGAGCCCGGAGAUAGCUGGUUCUCCCCGAAAUAGCUUUAGGGCUAGCCUCAAGGUGAGAGAUACGGAGGUAGAGCACUGAAUGUCCUAGGGGGUAUUGCACCUACCGAAGACUAUCAAACUCCGAAUGCCGUCAUCUUAUACUUGGGAGUCAGACUGUGGGUGAUAAGAUUCAUAGUCGAAAGGGCAACAGCCCAGAUCGUCAGCUAAGGUCCCUAAAUGUAAGUUAAGUGGUAAAGGAUGUGGGAUUGCACAGACAACCAGGAUGUUGGCUUAGAAGCAGCCACUCAUUCAAAGAGUGCGUAAUAGCUCACUGGUCGAGUGAUCCUGCGCCGAAGAUUUCCGGGGCUAAAACUUACUACCGAAGCUACGGCAUCAGUAAUGAUGGGUAGGGGAGCUUCCCAUACGGGUUGAAGCAUGACCGUAAGGACAUGUGGACAGUAUGGGAGUGAGAAUGUUGGCAUGAGUAGCGAGAUGUGGGUGAGAAUCCCACAGGCCGUAAACCCAAGGUUUCCAGGGGAAGGUUCGUCCGCCCUGGGUUAGUCGGGACCUAAGCUGAGGCCGAAAGGCGUAGGUGAUGGACAACAGGUUGAUAUUCCUGUACUACCGAUAACCGUUUGAGAGAAGGGAUGACACAGUAGGAUAAGCUAAGCACACUGUUGGUUAUGUGUGCCCAAGCAUUGAGGCAGUCAAAGUAGGCAAAUCCGCUUUGAUAAUGCUGGGAUGUGAUGGGGAGCGAAAUUUAGUAGCGAAGUAGCUGAUUUCACACUGUCAAGAAAAGUCUCUAUCGAGGUUAAAGGUACCCGUACCGCAAACCGACACAGGUGGGUGAGGAGAGUAUCCUAAGGCCAGCGAGAGAACUGUUGUUAAGGAACUCGGCAAAAUGACCCCGUAACUUAGGGAUAAGGGGUGCCACCAUCAGGUGGCCGCAGAGAAUAGGCCCAAGCGACUGUUUACCAAAAACAUAGGUUUCUGCUAAGUCGCAAGACGAUGUAUAGGAGCUGACGCCUGCCCGGUGCUGGAAGGUUAAGGGGAUCUGUUAGAGCAAUCGAAGCAGUGAACUUAAGCCCCAGUAAACGGCGGCCGUAACUAUAACGGUCCUAAGGUAGCGAAAUUCCUUGUCGGGUAAGUUCCGACCCGC